Molecule: long non-coding RNA, 275 nt
Filed under: dengue virus type 2
Lineage: Riboviria; Orthornavirae; Kitrinoviricota; Flasuviricetes; Amarillovirales; Flaviviridae
Description: Dengue virus type 2 sfRNA3
Rfam family: Flavivirus DB element (bases 93-164)
Source: RNAcentral
AUCUGGGAGGCCACAAACCAUGGAAGCUGUACGCAUGGCGUAGUGGACUAGCGGUUAGAGGAGACCCCUCCCUUGCAAAUCGCAGCAACAAUGGGGGCCCAAGGUGAGAUGAAGCUGUAGUCUCACUGGAAGGACUAGAGGUUAGAGGAGACCCCCCCGAAACAAAAAACAGCAUAUUGACGCUGGGAAAGACCAGAGAUCCUGCUGUCUCCUCNNNNNNAUUCCAGGCACAGAACGCCAGAAAAUGGAAUGGUGCUGUUGAAUCAACAGGUUCU